UCAAGUUUAUUUGGACAACAUUUAUAAGUUAGAUGGCACUUAAAAACUAUAGUUUUUGACAGAUAGAUAGAUUUCUAAUCUUUAAUUGGUGGAUAAAAAACUUUCCAACUAUAUAAUCAUCCACACACGCAUGGUGAGAAGUACUUAAUCGAUCCGGAAAGUGACGACUUCGUACCGGGCACUCCUGCUCCGACCCAAAUACCCACCAACUGAGACCCGCUUAACCCAUCUGAACUCGGAACCGUACUCCCUGCCAUGACCGUCAAUACUCCGGACCCCACUUGGAACAUGGACACCUGCGCAUCGUCUCAUCUAACAUUGGAUUCAGGACCUCCAAACUGGACAGACACUUUUGUGCCACGAUAGUACCUGUGACCUCUACCCAUUCACAUACUCUUCAAGUGCUUUGCUUGCUUGUUCCUCCAAUAAGUGGCAUGAUCAUCUUGGACAUCCAAGCCAUAGUGUUUUGCAAACAUUAUCAUCUCGUUCAUUUAUUUCUUGUUCAUCAACUUUAAACAAUGGUUUGUGUUCAUCUUCUCAUUUGUUGAUUUGUUAUCAUUUACGGUUACAUCAUUUGACAUAAUCCAUUGUGAUUUAUGGACAUCCCUAGUUAAAAGCAAAACGAGUUAUAAAGACUACAUGGUGUUGAUUGAUAAUUA
Long non-coding RNA from Helianthus annuus (common sunflower), 659 nucleotides. RefSeq lists it as uncharacterized. The transcript is spliced from 2 exons. The record is from RefSeq and is a predicted model, not a curated record. Lineage: Eukaryota; Viridiplantae; Streptophyta; Magnoliopsida; Asterales; Asteraceae.